AUGCAGCCAUCAUUAUGAGACACACCUGUGCUUUCACUGCUUUGACGUAAAAUGUUUGUCGUGAGAAGUCGUUUAUGCAGGCUUGAUAGCUAAAAUAAAGUUAACUUGUUGCCAUUUAUUAAGCCGCUGCCACCUACUGAUAUAACUUACCACUAUUUCAGUGCACAAACAAGAGUGGACUUCAGGCGGUGCGCUGAACUCAGCUCCUUCCUUCAUCUGUUUCUCAAUGAACUUGCGGUAGGCGUCAGGGUCAUUUUGAGAAAGAUCAUCCAGCAUGGACCAAAAGUGGUUGACCUGCUGUAAAACAUUCCCUGCACUGCCAGUGGAGGACAUCUUAAGAUCCAGCCCAAGAAUUCGGCCACUUUGGUAUAAACUCCAGGAUGGUUGGGCUCAGCACAGCCUGUCCCCCAGCUGACGACCCCUACCAGCCUCCACACAUUUUCAUCCUGGCAAACCAGAGGACCGCCACUGUCCCCCUGGAGAGGCCACCUUGCUUAACUUCCUGUGUCAUCGCGGCUGCCUGCGUCUGACUUGACUGGCUGCAAAUCAUCACCGGGGAGACGUCACGGCUCUGAACGAUCGCCCUCUUCUCCUCGUCUCUCCAUCAAGGCUGCAAUCAGAGACAUCUACAGGGCAUCUGAACUACUGACAGCCUACCAGACUGCUGAUAUGAGAGAUGGCUUGCUGAAGUUGUCAAAUGGCUUCAUAUGACUUGACCACACUCAAGAGGACAAAAGCCUUUCCAUGUCUUUAACUGGUAUUGCUUCAACCUUCAUAUAAUGAGACAAAAUCUCCAAAGGCUGGAGAAGAAACACAAAGUGCAGUAAUCCCUCAGAAAGGGAAUAUAAACAGAAAAGCAACACAGUUCAGUGGACUCCACUCAAGAAUGAUCUGAACUUUUCAAAAGAUUUCAAGGGUCAAAUUUUGUCCUGUUGAAUAAGAUAAUUAUUCUUUGAAGUGGAGUGCAAUGUACAACAGCUAAAUAAACUUGAGCGGUAAAAAGGCUGUGUGCUGUUUGUCAGUGUGUACUCACU
This is a long non-coding RNA of Micropterus dolomieu (smallmouth bass), 1034 nucleotides long. RefSeq lists it as uncharacterized. The transcript is spliced from 4 exons. The record is from RefSeq and is a predicted model, not a curated record. NCBI's taxonomy places the organism in Eukaryota, Metazoa, Chordata, Actinopteri, Centrarchiformes, Centrarchidae.